Molecule: ribosomal RNA, 448 nt
Filed under: uncultured Bifidobacterium sp.
Lineage: Bacteria; Bacillati; Actinomycetota; Actinomycetes; Bifidobacteriales; Bifidobacteriaceae
Description: bacterial SSU rRNA
Rfam family: Bacterial small subunit ribosomal RNA
Source: RNAcentral
UCCGGUUGGAUGCAUGUCCUUCCGGGAAAGAUUCCAUCGGUAUGGGAUGGGGUCGCGUCCUAUCAGCUUGAUGGCGGGGUAACGGCCCACCAUGGCUUCGACGGGUAGCCGGCCUGAGAGGGCGACCGGCCACAUUGGGACUGAGAUACGGCCCAGACUCCUACGGGAGGCAGCAGUGGGGAAUAUUGCACAAUGGGCGCAAGCCUGAUGCAGCGACGCCGCGUGCGGGAUGGAGGCCUUCGGGUUGUAAACCGCUUUUGAUCGGGAGCAAGCCCUUCGGGGUGAGUGUACCUUUCGAAUAAGCACCGGCUAACUACGUGCCAGCAGCCGCGGUAAUACGUAGGGUGCAAGCGUUAUCCGGAAUUAUUGGGCGUAAAGGGCUCGUAGGCGGUUCGUCGCGUCCGGUGUGAAAGCCCAUCGCUUAACGGUGGGUCUGCGCCGGGUACGG